GUAAAAAGAUUUCUAUUAUGCCCCGAGAGUGUAAAUUUGGAACGAAUCGAUGUAAACGUUCACAAGAACCAAAACCGGAACAAAAUUAGACUACUCAGUUGAGCCCUAACAGUAUAACUUUGCAACUAGUACUUUUUCUCAUUCAAUCGAACAAAGAGCAAAACCUAAUUAUAGUGUUCUCUUAUGCCCCGAGAGUGUAAAUUUGGAACGAAUCGAUGUAAACGUUCACAAGAACAAAAAACGGAACAAAGUUAGACUACUUAGUUGAGCCCUAACAGUAUAACUUUUCAAGAAGUACUUUUUCUCAUUCAAUCGAACAAAGAGCAAAACCUAAUUUUAUUGUUCUAUUAUGCACCGGGAGUGUAAAUUUGGAACGAAUCGAUGACAACGUUUACAGGAACCAAAACCGGAACAAUAUUAAACUUCUCAGUUGUGCCAUAACAGUAUAACUUUGCAACGAGUACUUUUUCUCAUUCUAUCGAAUAAGGAGUAAAAGCUUUCUAUUAUGCUUCGAGAGUGUAAAUUUGGAACGAAUCAAUGUAAACGAUCAAAAUAACCAUAACCGGAACAAAAUUAGACUACUCAGUUGCGUCGUAACAGUAUAACUUUGCAACUAGUUCUUUUUCUCAUUCAAUCGAACAAAGAGCAAAACCUAAUUAUAUUCUUCUAUUAUGCCCCGAGAGUGUAAAUUUGGAAAGAAUCGAUGUAAACGUUCACAAGAACCAAAACCGGAACAAAGUUAGAUAACUCAGUUGAGCCCUAACAGUAUUACUUUGCAACUAGUACUUUUUCUUAUUCAAUCGAACAAAGAGCAAAACCUAAUUUUAUUGUUCUAUUAUGCCCCGGGAGGGUAAAUUUGGAACGAAUCGUUGUCAACGUUCACAAGAACCAAAACCGGAACAAAGUUAGACUACACAGUUGAGCCCUAACUGUAUAAUUUUGCAACUAGUACUUUUUUUCAUUCAAUCGAACAAUGAGCAAAACCUAAUUAUAUUCUUCUAUUAUGCCCCGAGAGUGUAAAUUUGAAACGAAUCGUUGUCAACGUUCAUAAGAACCAAAACCGGAACAAUGUUAGACUACUCAGUUGAGCUCUAACAGUAUAACUUUGCAACUACUACUUUUUCUCAUUCAAUCGAUCAAAGAGCAAAACCUAAUUAUAUUAUUCUAUUAUGCCCCGAGAGAGUAAAUUGGGAACCAAUCCAUGUCAACGUUCACAAGAACCAAAACAAGAACAACAUGAGACUACUCAGUUGCGCCCUAGCAGUAUAACUUUGCAACAAGUACUUUUUCUCAUUCUAUCGAACAAAGAGUUAAAAGCUAAUUAUAUUGUUCUAUUACGCCCCGAGAGUUGUAAUUUCGAACGAAUCGAUGUCAACGUUCACAAUAACCAAAACCGAAACCAUAUUAGGCUACUCAGUUGCACCCUAACAGUAUAACUUUGCAAUCUCAUUCUAUCGAAGAAAGAGUAAAACCUAAUUAUAUUGUUCUAUUAUGCCCCAUGAGAGUAAAUUUGGAACCAAUCGAUGUCAACGUUCACAAGAACCAAAAUUGGAACAACAUUAAACAACUCAGUUGCGCUCUAACAGUUGAACAUUGCAACAAGUACUUUUUCUCAUUCAAUCGAACAAAGUGUAAAAGCUAAUUAUAUAUUAUACCCCGAGAGGGUAAAUUUGAAACAAAUCGAUGUCAACGCUCACAAGAACCAAAACCGGAACAAUAUUAGACUACUCAGUUGCUCAAUAACAGUAUAACUUUGCAACGAGUACUUUUUCUCAUUCUAUCGAACAAAGAGUUAAACCUAAUUAUAUUGUUCUAUUAUGCCCCGAAAGAGUAAAUUUGGAACGAAUCGAUGUCAAUGUUCACAAGAACAAAAAUCGGAACAACAUUAGACUACUGAGUUGCGCCCUAACAGUAUAACUUUGCAAGGGGUACUUUUUCUCAUUCUAUCGAACAAAGAGUAAAAUCUAAUAAUAUUGUUCUAUUAUGCCCCUAGAGUGUAAAUUUGGAACGAAUCGAUGUCAGCGUUCACAAGAACCAAAACCGGAACAACAUUAAACUACUCAGUUGUGCCCCAACAGUAUAACUUUGCAACGA
Molecule: long non-coding RNA, 2094 nt
Filed under: Ananas comosus (pineapple)
Lineage: Eukaryota; Viridiplantae; Streptophyta; Magnoliopsida; Poales; Bromeliaceae
Description: long non-coding RNA (ACOM_LNC039813)
Source: RNAcentral